RNAcentral lists this ribosomal RNA (2652 nucleotides) under Triticum aestivum (bread wheat). RNAcentral describes it as "partial small subunit ribosomal RNA". The record is from RNAcentral. Lineage: Eukaryota; Viridiplantae; Streptophyta; Magnoliopsida; Poales; Poaceae.
AUGUGGUUGGCAUAUAUAGUCAACACUCUGAUUACUCCAAUUUACCAUAUCGUCUUCAAGCAUGUAAUGUACCCCUUCACGGCUAGCAGAAACGUGAAGCAUCUCAAAGAAGCAGCCGAGGGUUUGAUCGCCAAGGGCAACGAUGUCCGGUAUGAGAUUGAGAUUGCCGAGAGAAAUGGCAGGACAGCAAAGAAUGAAGUGCGGAAGUGGCUUGAAAAUGUGAACGCCAUCAAGUCUGAUGAAGAAGCAAUUAGGCAGGUGUAUGACGAGAGAUGCCAAGUUUUUGGGUGCAUCUCUCUGAAUUGCUGGUCAAACUACAAAAUCAGCAAGAGUGCUGAAAAGGAGCUUCUGAAAGCCCAAGAGUAUGCCAAGAUUGACACUAGUGUUGUCGCAAUCCAGCCACUGCCACCAUCAGUCCGAGAAAUGCCUGUCUCAUCCAGUGGAUUGCCCAGUGAAGAGCAUAAUAUGCAGGAGGCUGCCAGGUGCAUUAGGAAUUCUCCGGUUGGAAUGAUUGGGAUAUGGGGUCUAGGUGGAGUGGGAAAGACUCAUCUUCUGAAGAAGAUCAACAACUCAUUUCUAGGAGACUCUUUCUUCGAUGUUGUUAUUUUUGUUACAGCCUCAAAAGAUUGUUCAGUGGAGAAAAUCCAAGCUGAAAUAGUAAAGAAACUCAGCUUAAGGAAAGAGUCUCAAGCCAAUAUCAUUUCUGACUUGCUGAGCAGGAGGAGUUUUCUUGUACUGCUGGAUGACCUCUGGGAACGGUUGGACUUGCAAGCAGCUGGUAUCACACAUCCUCUUGGAGCCCUUUCAAGAGAGCUUGUGAAGGAGCUAAAGGGCCUGCCCCUGGCGUUGAUAGCUACCGGAAAGGCAAUGCAUCCAAAGAAAGAUCCAGGUGAAUGGGAAACAGCUAUUCGUCUACUGCGACGAUCUGGCCACGAUGCGGAUGAUCCCACGUCUGUGGAGAACACAAUUUACUUCAAGUUAAAACUUAGCUAUGAUAGCUUAGGGAAUGAUACCAUGAGACGUUGUUUCCUGGUUUGCUCUCCAUGGCCAGAAGAUUCUCCUAUUGCUAAAGACGAUCUGAUCCAGUGUUGGAUGGGCUUAGGUCUGCUUAAUAAAUGCGACAUGCAGACUUCUUACAGUGAAGGCUACAACAUAAUAGGUCACCUGCAAGCUGCAUCUUUGCUGGAAGGUACUGAGGACAGUAGUAAGCACCUCAAAAUGCAUGAUGUGAUCCGUGAUAUGGCGAUAUGGAUAUCUUGCGGUUGCGGUGAAAACAAUAACAAAUGGGUCGUUCACGCAGCGAUCGGCAAAACUGCGUCUAGAAAGUGCAUCCCUUGGAACAGAGUGGAGUAUCUGUCAAUGAUGGGCAACGGACUGGAAGAGCUUCCAUAUCUUGGUGGUGGCGUGAAUGAAAAUAGUAUGGGCUGCAGUGUCAGAUCCAAGUGUUUUCUUGGUUCUGGUUCCACAGAACUCAGGACAACACUGCUUCUUCAAGCUAAUAAGUUCAACGAGAAGGCACUUGGAAAUAUUUACCUCUUCACUUCAUUGACAUACCUAGAUUUGAGUCAGAACUACAUUCGUGUUCUGCCUUUAGCAGUCUGUGCUCUGGGAGAUCUAGAGUACCUCAACCUGUCAUACAAUUACAUCACUGAGUUGCCCAAGGACCUUCGACACCUCACCAAGCUCAAAUUCCUAUACCUAAGAGGCAACCCGAUACACACUGUACCAAAGGGCACCAUAUCAAGGCUGCAGGAACUGCAAGUGCUUGACCUCCUGUCGUCCCAGGUCUCGACACACGCAAACUAUACUCUAUCAUUGUUCCCAGAAUUGGACUUCCUGGAUAACUUGAAAGCUGUGGAGAUCGGGGUCAAAGGUGACGCGGCAUACGAACUGCUAGGCAAGUUCCCCGGCCUCCCUGUUAGAUCCAUCCAUCUGAGCAGGCUGACAGGGACACCAACAUUCUGCUUCCUGGAUGGCUGCUUCUCGAGCUCCUCGGUGCAAGCGAGCUUAUACGACCUGACGAUCUACAAGUGCUGCAUGCAGCAGAUACUGGUGAGAAGCGGCACGGAAGGAGCAGUCUCCCAGUUCGACGUGCUCAGAUCGCUCACGCUUGACAGCCUGCGCAGCCUGAAGGGGAUCAUCUGGAAGAGAGUGGUCCCAGAGCCUCUUUUUCCGAGGCUGACCUACCCGGCAGUCGUGCACUGCCAGAGUCUUAGGCACAUUUCAUGGGCCAUGCACCUGCCUUGCCUCGAGAGGAUCCUGGUGAACAACUGCGGCGGCAUGAAACAGAUCGUUCGGACCAAGAAGAAGGACGGCGGUGCUGGGGAAGAAGACAGGGGGCAAGCACCGGUCCAUGGCUUCCCUUGCCUCAAAUACCUUGAGCUGCAGAGCCUUCCCGGGCUGUCGAGCCUCUGCGACCCCGAGGUGACAUUCCCAUCCCUCGAGACCAUGGAGAUAUCCUUCUGUCCAAAGCUGAAGAGGCUCCCAUUCCUGAUGAGAACCGUGCCGCGGAGGCUGCGCAACAUCAGCGUCCCCCUUGUCCAGAUGAGGUGGUGGGAGUCGCUGGAGUGGGUCGAGGAGGGCGUCAAGCGUGCCGUACAGCCUCUUGUUAACUCGGACAUCACAGACCAGCUGGAGCAGAGUCCUAUUUAG